This is a long non-coding RNA of Siniperca chuatsi (mandarin fish), 6340 nucleotides long. RefSeq lists it as uncharacterized. The record is from RefSeq and is a predicted model, not a curated record. Lineage: Eukaryota; Metazoa; Chordata; Actinopteri; Centrarchiformes; Sinipercidae. The transcript has 2 exons.
GCCUCACAGAGCCACUAGUGCAAAUCAAAAAUGUUUCUUUAUCUUAUGUGUUUGUUAAAAAACAAAUAUUGGCCAGUAAAUCAUUAUUUUGAUUUUUUAAAACUUUAAAAUAUCGACAUCAGUAUUAGCAUUAAAAAUCCACUAUCUGUCAGGAUCUAGUUUUAAACAAACAAGCUCAGAUAAACCCACUGCCCAGCACCAAAGGGCAGACAAAGUUAGCAACUAGACAGUGAAGAAAGCAUUAUAUCUAGUAGCUAAAAAGCCAGAUAUUUUCUUAGCGGUUGGGAGAGACCAGAGCUAAAAGGAAAGUAAAUAUUGGACUUAUAUUCAUUAGGUGGCCAAAAACAUGACACCAAAUGAAUGCUAAUGUUGCUCCAUGUCUGCUAGAUAUGUAAAUAUGCGACUGUUUUGUAAUGUUAGCAAUAACAACUUUAUAAGGCAAUGUCAGGACUGUGGCUUUGUCAGCUUGUUCUUCUGCCUCCAAGUGGCCAAAAUAAAUAAAUAUGAAAAGUAUUAAUGCAGCUUUAAGACAGCAGCCUAUUUAACAGCAUCCAUCCAUAUUCAUUAUUAAAUUCACACUAGUGGAUUUGUUGUGACCACUCAAGCAGUUUGUUAAUGUCUUGGUAGUAACAUAUCCAACCCAGUACUGCCAUAACAAAUCCAGUGAGACAACAGUAUAUGACGGUCAUUGGUCUCAUUAAACCCAUAUGCUCCACACACCCACUUGUUUACUGUUAUGUUCAAUAAAACCAAAGCUAGAAAACAUUAAAUGGGUUACCACUGAGUCUCAACUCAUGGGUGAACAGGAGAGCGGGUGCGUGGGCUGCUUGCUGCUACAAGGUAUGGGUGUCUCUUGACUUCCCAAGGGGAAAAAGCUGUUGAGCAUGCGGGUCACACCGAGUGGGUGGCUAAUAUUCUGACUCAAGCUCAUGGCUGGACAGUGUCAGGUCUUCCUGACCCCUCUAGGGGAACGGAACACAGGAGAGAGCAGCUGAAAUAGUAAGACUGUUGCACGUCUCCACCAACACACAGUCUGCCUCAGUGGACACUGUAGAUAAUGUGCAAAGCAAGACUAUGUGGAACAACCAGAAAAAGUGUCCUGAAGCUCUGUGCCAUUUCAAAAGGACAGAAGGAACAGUGGCUGCAUUUUUGUGCACAAAGAAUCCCUUUAUAAACCAAACCACUCAAGUAGCUUAGUUUUGGGUUGACAUACUCUGUGCGGACAUCUUAAGUGGGUUAGAAUCAGUGGGAAAACUCAAGCACUAAGAAACAAAAAAUCACUCCUAUUUGAAACAAUUUACUGUGACCCAGAAAAAUCAGACUCCUGUCAUUUUAGUUUUUUAAAUUAUCUGCACAAAACGUUUAUGUGUAAGACACUAUGGGUUCUUGUUUAGAUGAGAAACCUUUCCAUUUUAUCCGUCAACCUUGUCAUUUAAGUUGAGUAGAAACAUUUCAAAACGGGACAUGUGUGAUUCCAUUUGGGGGUUCCCAGCGCCCACUGCACAGGGUGGUUGGGAUAUCUUCAACGAGGGUCCACAGAAGCUUUCUUUGACCCAAGCCCUCUGUGACACUGUGUCACAGUGGGCUGGAAUCACCUAAGAUAAAUUUAGGUGAGUGGCCAAACAUAACAAAAAUUGUCAUCUACGCUAUCUUCCUCCCUCUCUCACCUUUUCCCAGCCAAUGUAUGGGGUCUAAGAAAACAAAGGGCAUAUUUAUCUAUCAUUUUAAAGAUUGUGAAGUUGGCUUAAACCGAUCACUGUAAGCACUGGUAAAAUUGUGUGAGUCUCACUGAACAGUAAAAAACAGUUAAAUAGAAAGUAUACUGGCCCUACAAGUAGAAAGCAGUACAUCAUAUCGCCGAUGAGAGCAAAUCAUCUACCAGUCAUUCCGUUAGAAUGCCGGGUUGGACUUACACACGUCCAGAGUUGUUUAUUAAAUGUGCGAUGAUAAGCACUGAUAAAACCAUGCUCAUCACACUAAUUGAGUGCCAAAUAGCUAGGUAGUUAGUGAAUAAGUACAAGAUGAUUGUCAUUUAAGUACUAUGCCUGAUUUUACAGGGCUGACAUUGCCAGAAGAAUUAAAGGUUCAGACAAAGACUGUGAUAUGUGUAAAUAAUAAAAUAAUUAUUUAACUAUAGCAAGUUUUGUCUUUAAGCUUUUUGGGUGUUAUCUAUAGUAAUAAUAAUAAUGGUACUAAAUGAUGUGAAAUUGCAUAGUUUUAAGUCAUGAACCUUCAAAUUUUCUUGGCAGAGGACCCUAAACCCAGGUAGCAGGUAACCAAGAGGAAUGGUCAGUGAUGAGGGUAGUGAGGAUGGGAGCGCAGAGGAAAGAAGAUUGUUGCAGUAUCGUUGUUUUACUGACCUCCUCCAAUUCAGCUGCAGCGCUCGAUUACCCCUGAGGUCAAGAUAACUGCAACACUGAAACUAUAAACUAUUGAUCUGCCUGGUGAUAUUCAAAGUGGGGUGGAGGCAGGGUUGAUGGUGUUAGGCCGGCCACAGUAUAUCCUGGCCUCAAUGAUGAAUUAGAUUUUGCACCUUUUUGUAUGUAGUGUAUUAAGUUAGGUUGUCUUCAUAGUGUUCACGUCUCUGUGUGUGUCACAGUUUGACCCUAAGGAAGAAUGGUAUACCGUUCAUACACGUUGGUCUUGUUUUUAAAAUCACACAGCCAGGAUAAUAAAGGCUUUUUAACUUUUUUACUUGAACGAAACAGUGUGCCUUAACCUUUUUGGGGAAUCCAUCUAUUUCUUGUGGAUAGCAGGAAUUGUAUUUAACUGGGGAACUUUGCUGGAGAAGGGUGGGUUGCAGAUAUACACGCUAGAGGCACAGGAGCACUGAGAUAGAUAUGUAUUUUACACCAAAUUUGGCUCUGAUCUGUGGUUGUUUCUCAGUGUACCUGUAAAUCUUGGAGUAGUUCAAUCCUGCUAUGUUGUUUGUGAGUGAUUCUGUUCUAAGAACAUGGAGAAGUGAUUAAUUGCUGUGACAUUAAGAACAUGGAAAUUGAGAAAUAAAGGGCAUUGAAGGCUACAUAAAAUCAAGCAUGAACAGCUGGUUUUACUGUAUCCGUUAAUUAACUCUUAAAGCCUGUUUAAAUCAUUAUAAAUUUUGAGGUCUGUUUAUUACGCUCUUAUGAAGUCAACAUCAAAAUAAUAAUUGUGAUACCUGUCCAGCAGGUGUCGCCCUGUUAACUUCUAAACAAAAUGUGUCUUGUAUGUACAAUAUAUUAUCCUGUGCUUUUGGCUGAAGGAGCACAUUUGCAGCCCACCUGAAAAAAACCAACAGGAUGAUGUGCAGGAGGGAGAAGGAGAGGGAAGGAGUGAGAGUGAGUCAUAAUGCUAGGAGAAAUGAGCUGACUGGAUCAGAAGCCUGGUGACAUACAUUAAGAACUGCAGUCCAACUGCGCUGACCUAUGCUCAAGUGCAUAAACUGGAAGGGAAUGCAGUUUUCCUCAUCUAUUAACCUCAACAAUUCAGCAUGGAGCUGGGAGAAACUAACCAUAAGUAAACUAAACCUGGUGCUGAUGUAAAUAGUGAUGUGGAUUUCACAAAGCCGAGGGUAUAUCACAGAGAAGUAUAACUAGGAUAUAAAAAGGCAGUGGUAGUGUGGGGGGAAGUACGAUGACAAAAGAAGAGCAUAGACAGCUCAGCAGGCAUGGUGUCUUUAUUUCAGAAGCUACCCUUAGGAGAUAAAUAUCUAACUGCAUACACAGACCCCCACAUCUUUCCACUGCCUCCCUCUUUGUCCUCCACCCAGCCUCAACCCCCACUGCCUCCUAUUGUUGCCCCUUCCUCCUCCACUCCUCCCCCUCUGCAGGUCUGCCAGAAUAACAGCAGCUGAUGAUGGGCUCGACUGAACUCAGAGCAGAGCUUGGCACAGUGGGGCUGAAUACAGUCUUUUUUGGCAUUUUCUCUUUUUGCUUGUGUAUGUUGUUUAGGUGGUAGCUGUAUGGGUGUGUGCAUGCUCAACCAGCCCCCACAGCAGUGAGAAAGGAGGAGACAACAGUAAGCGUGAGCAAUGUCUUUUCCCCCUCCCAACUCCUUCGCUCUCUUUCUAAUGCUCCUUCAUUGCCACGGCCAUCAGGAUCCGUCCUCCCUCUCGCCAUCAUUCUGCUUGGUUAUACAAUCCUCAGUCCUCCCAUGGUGACUACCUGGUGUUGGAGAUCUAUCGUAACACUGCUGUCACUGGCGGCAGAUCCAUAAUGCCAUAACAACUGUCUGGCACUCCGGCUGCCUCUGUCUCUCUACAGACGUCUGCUCCAUGGGAUUUUACAGCUUUUCCUCCUCUUCUGGAAUAUCACCUGCCAGACUAAUUCAGGGACCUGCCUGUUCUUACAUAGCUCAGCGGAGGCUGGGUGUCAUUGAGACAAUAUCAGCUGAUCCUACAGAUAUAAUCAUGCACAGUGUUGGCAUGUGGGCUUCAGUGAUGAGCAAGAGGCUUUUUUGAAAGGCACCUCUGUUCCCCAGAAGAGUCCGAAGCAAGCGGGAGGGACGCUACAGAACAAGGGGGUGUGUGGAUUUACUGAUAAGCUGGGGAGGCAGGUGGAGGAGUUGUGUGUAGGAGUUUAGGAAAAGAAGGGACAGGGAACUCAAGCGAGGGAGCAGACAGGGAUGAUGAGAGGAAUGAUGGGGAGUUGGGAGGGGGCAAAUGGGGAGGGGGUUUCUCCUCGCCCCUUAAAAAGAGGGUGCUAGCGCUUUAGCAGCAGCAAUGCAAACCUGCUGACAAAAACCUGACUGCAAAGAUUUGUGAGGGUGAACUUAAUCAACAGGGAAGUUGGGGGUGUGGGAGGUUGUUGAACCUGACAGGUGGCGCGAUAAACUAGGGGAGUGGAGAAGUGACACAAGGGGGUUUUCACUGGAAGCGUCGCUGAGCACCGCAAAGCCGCCGUGGCACCGCUGCCUUCUCCUCCUCUCUCCAUCACUUUGUCUGUCGCUCACAGGCACUGGGACUGUGGCUAUAUAUCCAUUCUCUCCCCCCUUCUCCCCCAGGUCUCCACAUGUAGCAUGCCCUCAAAGCCAUGGUCCAAAAAGCAUGCCGGAUGAUGAUGAUGAUGUUUUACACCUUAGACGCCUUAGGAUAAGUGGCCCCUUGCCAGGUUAGGAGAGCAUCAUGAUCAUGGGCACCACAGUUAUCACCCUUGAGGACGUGCGGGCACUGGAGGUCAAGGAGGAGCAGGAGGAGUCCAUCUUGGCCAUGUUAGGCAUCAUUGGCACAUUCCUUAACCUCUUUGUAAUUGUUUUUGUUUACAUCUACACUACACUCUGAAGUGCCAAAGUAAAAGAUAAAGGAUUUCCAAAAACCUGCCAUCAGAUAAGACUUCUACAAGAACGGUUGAAGUGAGCAGUAGGGAAAAACAGGUUAGUUAGAAAGUGAUACGUGUUGGGUGAGAAGUCUGACAUGAACAUCUUCCCCAGAGAGUGGAGGAGGAAACUGGACAGACUGGCUAAGGAUGAAGACGAGGAAGCCAUAUUGCCAAGUCACAGCCAUGAGCCAGGGAGAUAAAGGGUUGGAAGAGAUGGCAGGAACAGGGCUAUGCUAGGACCUCUGUGAACAGAGCCGGUCAGGACUGACCCCGCUGUGGCCUGGUAGGAAAUACAAACUUCCCUUUGAUCUAAUUUUCUUGGACUGCUGGAUUCACUGGAAACAUGAUCUACACAAGACAGCCUUGUGGACAACACUGAUGCUUUUCCAUUUUUUUUUAACUUAAUUUUCAAAUUGGUGUGACUAAUUGCUAUUUGCCUGGAGGGGAUUUUAAGCAACAUGAUUAAAAGCAGAGAAAGAACUAAGAACUAUGCUGGGAAGCUGCUCUGGAGACACUGUUGGCCACCAUAUUCAAUCAGUCUUCAGGGCCAAAAAUGUUAUGGCUUCAGGGUCCCUGUCAAAGAGUACCCUUCCCCAGAAAUGUGGCUCUGGACACUGUUGUACUGUCGUCUCCUAAGAUACCUGCCAUCGCAAAAAUGCCUCCAACCCACAAAAAAUAACCAUCAACAAUAAACACAUUUCUAUACUUCAAGAAAUGUGAAAAUCCAAAUAAAAACAUAUUUUUUUAAUAGCUAAAAGGUCUAUUACAUCUGAAAGAAAUGAAAGAACGAGAUCAACUUGUAAUUAAACAAUGUAGCUGAUUUACAUGCAAGAUGAAUCGGCCUAUCUUCUACUUUCUUUUUCUGCACCUCUGUCCACCUUUUGACAUAAAGCUUCACUAGAUUUUUUUUGUUUGUGUUGAUUUCAGGGUAGUGACAGCAAUCCUUUUCCUGUAUUAAAAAGGCUUUUUAUAGAUAUUUGAAUAAAGUCUAGAUGUAUUGUGCAAUAGGGGACAUUUGAACAAUAAACACCAGAGCAUAUCAAUAA